AAUCAACGCUGGCGGCGUGCCUCAGACAUGCAAGUCGAACGCGAAAUUUCCCUUCGGGGAGAAAGUAGAGUGGCGCACGGGUGAGUAACACGUAGGUAAUUUGCCUUUGGGUGGGAAUAACUCAGGGAAACUUGAGCUAAUACCGCAUAAUGCAGCGGCUCGACAUCGAGACAGUUGUUAAAGCGGGGGAUUGGAGCAAUCCGACCUCGCGCCUAAAGAGAAGCCUGCGGCAGAUUAGCUAGUUGGUAAGGUAAUGGCUUACCAAGGCGACGAUCUGUAACCCGGCCUGAGAGGGCGGUCGGUCACACUGACACUGACAUACGGGUCAGACUCCUACGGGAGGCAGCAGUCGGGAAUUUUGGGCAAUGGGCGCAAGCCUGACCCAGCAACGCCGCGUGAAGGAUGAAAUUUUUCGGAAUGUAAACUUCGCAAGAACAGGAAGAAUAAGUGUGGGACAAUACCCCACAUGAUGACGGUACUGUUUGUAAG
This 489-nucleotide ribosomal RNA is filed under the name uncultured bacterium. Its description in RNAcentral is "bacterial SSU rRNA". It matches the Rfam family "Bacterial small subunit ribosomal RNA", at positions 32 to 490 of the family's 1533-position model. The record is from RNAcentral.